CAGAUUUGGGGGAGGCUCAGGCAAGUGGCUUUUCAGCUUAAGUAUUUCUGCAGAAUUCUUUCUUCAUGAAAGCUAAAGCACGUUAAAUCCCCAUAGAGCAGGAGCAGGCCAAGGUUGCUCUGUGUGCUUAAAACAGAUACUCAGCAUUGAAAAUGAACUGGAAAGAGUGGAGGAGAGGAGAACUGAAAACAGGGAUAUUCAAGUCAACAGCAUUGCAGAGAGAGUAAUCAAAGGCCAAAAAAUGUGCAAGCUGUAUCAGCAAGUUAAGGUGAAAGAUCUCUGGCAGGCCUACCAGAAGGUGGACACCAGGAUAGCAUCUGCUAACUCCCCAUUGGUCUCCUCCUAUGGGGAAAACUACUCUUGUGGGAUGGUUGUGUUGGUUGGUGCAGAAAAGUCCUUUAGUGCUUCUUGAUAAACAGCAGCCUUUUCCAGGAACAGAUGUAAAAAUCUUUUAUUGAGGUUUAUAGGAAUAAAAGUUUUAUUUCUUCCA
RNAcentral lists this long non-coding RNA (490 nucleotides) under Anser brachyrhynchus (Pink-footed goose). Its description in RNAcentral is "lncRNA (ENSABRG00000017062.1)". Lineage: Eukaryota; Metazoa; Chordata; Aves; Anseriformes; Anatidae. The record is from RNAcentral.